Oncorhynchus tshawytscha (Chinook salmon) is the source of this 743-nucleotide long non-coding RNA. The record is from Ensembl. Lineage: Eukaryota; Metazoa; Chordata; Actinopteri; Salmoniformes; Salmonidae.
CUAGUGGUUAGAGUGUAGAGGUGGCAGGGUAGCCUAGUGGUUAGAGUGUAGAGGUGGCAGGGUAGCCUAGUGGUUAGAGUGUAGAGGCGGCAGGGUAGCCUAGUGGUUAGAGUGUAGAGGUGGCAGGGUAGCCUAGUGUUUAGAGUGUAGAGGUGGUAGGGUAGCCUAGUGGUUAGAGUCUAGGGACAGUAGGGUAGCCUAGUGGUUAGAGUGUAGAGGCGGCAGGUAGUCUAGUGGUUAGAGUGUAGAGGCGGCAGGGUAGCCUAGUGGUUAGAGUGUAGAAGCGGCAGGUAGUCUAGUGGUUAGAGUGUAGAGGCGGCAGGGUAGCCUAGUGGUUAGAGUGUAGAGGUGGCAGGUAGCCUAGUGGUUAGAGUGUAGAGGAGGCAGGUAGCCUAGUGGUUAGAGUGUAGAGGAGGCAGGUAGCCUAGUGGUUAGAGUGUAGAGGCGGCAGGGUAGCCUAGUGGUUAGAGUGUAGAGGAGGCAGGUAGCCUAGUGGUUAGAGUGUAGAGGAGGCAGGUAGCCUAGUGGUUAGAGUGUAGAGGAGGCAGGUAGCCUAGUGGUUAGAGUGUAGAGGAGGCAGGGUAGCCUAGUGGUUAGAGUGUAGAGGAGGCAGGGUAGCCUAGUGGUUAGAGUGUAGAGGCGGCAGGUAGCCUAGUGGUUAGAGUGUAGGGGCGGCAGGGUAGCCUAGUGGUUAGAGUGUAGAGGAGGCAGGUAGCCUAGUGGUUAGAGUGUAGAGGAGGCAG